UUGUUCAGGGCACAAUUGAUACACUUCCAUCAAAUUAGUUAUGUUGCAUUGCGUACUUGAUAUGGAGAGAAAGCCUUUUUGAAGCAGUUCCCUCAGGUGCCACGCAGACCUACAGGAUCUCUAUUGAGUCUCAUUUGGCCCAGUGUGAGGCAAAAGACCGGCAGAAACAUACAGGAGGAAGUUGAUACGUCUAUGUAUGAUUCUACUGCAGAUUUUCGGUAUCGCGGGGAUGCGUGCGAUGGAGAAACAAACACUUAUUAUCUGCAUGGAGGUCUUGACAGUACCAAGUCAGCAAAACAUGACCAGAAGAAAAGGAAAGACCUUAUAUACUCUGCUGAUUUUCCUUGUGGAAACAACGCAGCUGAGUCCCAACUGCGUGCAUUGAUGGGAAGUUGAGGCUCGAAGUGUACCCCAUUGCGUAUUUGAUACGGAGGGUAAGCUCUAUCAGGAAAUUAGUUUUGUUUUAUAAAUCGAUGUGCUAAUGGGUUUUGGUGUAAAAACUUAGUGCCGAGAGACCUUGCGCCUUUUCAUGAAAAUAAAUUUUGUGAUGGCCAUAAAUUAGGGUAGAAACAUGAAAUCUUUGUUUUGUAGUGGCUGCUAUCCAGUCUAAAUGUUGCAAUCAACUCACAGCUGCAACAUUUGUUCUAGUGAACCAGCAUUCAUGGGUGUCAAAUUUACUCUAUUCUCUGAAUUGAUUUUACAUCUUUCCGUGUUUUUCACAGUUAAAAGUAGUUUUCUGAUA
This is a long non-coding RNA of Mercurialis annua (annual mercury), 742 nucleotides long. RefSeq lists it as uncharacterized. The transcript is spliced from 4 exons. The record is from RefSeq and is a predicted model, not a curated record. Lineage: Eukaryota; Viridiplantae; Streptophyta; Magnoliopsida; Malpighiales; Euphorbiaceae.